GCCUGAUCCAGCCAUGCCGCGUGCAGGAUGACGGUCUUAUGGAUUGUAAACUGCUUUUGUACGAAAAAAAACACUCCUACGUGUACGACCUUGACGGUCCGUAAGAAUAAGGAUCGGCUAACUCCGUGCCCCAGCCGCGGUAAUACGGAGGAUCCAAGCGUUAUCCGGAAUCAUUGGGUUUAAAGGGUCCGUACGCGGUUUAAUAAGUCAGUGGUGAAAGCCCAUCGCUCAACGGUGGAACGGCACUUGAUACUGCUGAACUUGAAUUAAUUUGAAGUAACUACAAUAUGUAGUGUAGAGGUGAAGUGCAAAAAGAUUACCUGGAAUACCUCUUGCGAACGCAGGUUACUACUAAGGGAUUGACGCUGAUGAACGAAAGCGUGUGUAUCGAACGGGAUUACAUACCCUGGUAGUCCACGCCGUAAACGAUGGAUACUACCUGUUGGAAGCAAUUUCAGUGGCUAAGCGAAAGUGAUAAGUAUCCCACCUGGGGAGUACGUUCGCAAGAAUGAAACUCAGAGGAAUUGACGGGGGCCCGCACAAGCGGUGGAGCAUGUGGUUUAAUUCGAUGAUACGCGAGGAACCUUACCAAGGCUUAAAUGUAGAUUGACCGGUUUGGACACAGAUCUUUCUCA
This 635-nucleotide ribosomal RNA is filed under the name Flavobacteriaceae bacterium So2Ps_910. Its description in RNAcentral is "bacterial SSU rRNA". It matches the Rfam family "Bacterial small subunit ribosomal RNA", at positions 381 to 1019 of the family's 1533-position model. The record is from RNAcentral. Lineage: Bacteria; Pseudomonadati; Bacteroidota; Flavobacteriia; Flavobacteriales; Flavobacteriaceae.